Pezoporus flaviventris is the source of this 2792-nucleotide long non-coding RNA. RefSeq lists it as uncharacterized. The transcript is spliced from 3 exons. Lineage: Eukaryota; Metazoa; Chordata; Aves; Psittaciformes; Psittacidae. The record is from RefSeq and is a predicted model, not a curated record.
CAGCAAGUCUUUGUUCUGUUCUGCUCCUCCUUGUUGCAUCCAGGUUUGCUCCUGAGCACACAGAAGCUGUGACUCUGGUCCCUUGUGUGCAGGACUCCUACAGCAGUGACAGAACCCUCCAGUGAUGCAGGCUGGGGGGCAGCAUCCCUCCGGCACCGGCUGAUCCCGAUCCCAUUGACCUAGGCUGAGAUUCAUCUUUAACUUUGACUUCAAGAUCCCAUGGAGCAACGAGGCUCUUGCCCAAGUAAGAUGCUGCAUUUGUCAUGGUCCAUCCACACUGUUGCAGCUCGAGGGGAGCACUGCAGUGGAUGUGGACGUGCCUGUGGGUACCAUGAGGUGACAAGCAGCAUGAAAAGGUGCCACCACUGCAGGUCCCCUUCCCAGGGCUGCUCAGCCACACAAGUUAGAGGUCAGAACACAGUGGUGAUGUGCUAUAGGAAGAAAACACUUUAUUUGUUUAAAAUAGGAAAAAAACCCACUCUCACAAGCACUUUCAAUGUCUUAGGAAAGUUAUUUAUGCAUAUGAGAUACAAAAUCAGAAACUUCUAAGGAAAUGCUUUUCUUUUUCAGUCAGCCACAGAGAAGGAGAUAAAGGAUGUGCUUCUUGUUGAUAAAGUGCUGGUGUCUGUGCAUCUGCAGCAUGUCAGGAUGUUCCUGGGAUGCCCAUCCCCAUGUCCUGCAUUGAUGCAGGACAAACCUCAGUGUCUGGUCCUGAUGGCUGUGAUGGUGGGACUGCUUGCAGUGGCAGAAAAUGCUUCCUCCCCACCUCCAGCGUGCUCCAUCCUUUCCCUAGAAAACCUGUGUUUAAUCUCACCAUCCAUUGGGAAAAUAGUUGAAACGGGUUUGGUGUAAAGAUGUAACACGUGGGGAUGGGGACCGGAGUUGAACUGCUCAUAGGAUCACCACUCAGGAGAGCCCCUUCCAGUGCCGCAGGCUUUGCCCCCUGCCGACGGAGCCCGUUUUGUUUCACCCCCCUCCUCUGCUGGUUGCCAUUCAUACCACCAGCCUUCCCCUGCCGUAGGUGUGAACUGUUUUUCUUCUUAAAUUGCAUUUAUUCUAACAAAUGUCUCAUGCAAACACAAUUGCAGGUUUGCUGGAGGGAGAUGCUGUUUGAAGGCAGCCUUGCACAAAGGCAGAUUUAUUCUCCUUCCAUUCAUUUGAAGCUAAAGUAAUAGCUCUAACUACAUCUGACUUAUUAUAAGCGCGUUACUGGGAACAAACCUGUAUUCUGCAUGUAUUCCCCUCUUUGUCAGCUCCACCUAGGCACUUUUUCUCCCUCUCUUCUAUUUUUUUACAAUAACAAAAUCAGAGCCUUGUCAGUUGAAAGUUUAUAUGCCCUAUUUAUAGCGCUCUGCUGUCUCCUGGCUUUUAUGUUCCAGCAUAAGUAGCUCUUUACCCUCUGCUCACAAGGAGCCUAGCGUGAGCCUGAACAGAGCCUGCAUCUCCGUAAUAGCUCUUUUAUCCUUCCCUGUGGAGGGCAUCAUGCCCUGCUUUCCACGGACUCACUGCUUUAGAAGUGAGCAACCACCCCUGUGGGCCAGAGGACUCUGCCUUGGGUGUUUUAGUACCUCUUUUGGUCAGCACAUCCUCAAACUUGGGGUGUUGCUUUAGGGAAUGGGGGUGUUUUGCUGGCCACCAGCAUGGUUUGUUGCUUGCAGCUAUUGAGCAUCUUGCUGGGAACCACUGGUUCAUCUUCUGGGGUGUGAUGGCUGGGAAAGCAUCACCACAGUUUGAUGCACAAAUAUGCUAUCCGCUUGGUGACUCUCGUUAAUAAGAAGAAUAUGAGUGUUCCUCCAGGGAGCUUCAGUGGUUACUUCAGUGAGUUUUGCAGUUAAGCUGGUACUUCAAUGCAGUUUGUGAAUUUAAGAGGUUUUUGUAGUCAGACAAGCCUGGAUUCAGCAUCGCCUCCUAUAUGGGCUGUGGCUGGCUCCUGAACUUCUCUGUUCCUUGUCUCCAGAUGUUAUUUGGGACGAGGACUCAGGACAGGCUUUGGCAGUGAUACUGCAGCAGCUCCCAGCACGGCGGUGGCUGAGAUGCAAAACAGAGACUGGUUUGCAAACAAGUCAGAGUCACCACGACCCACAGCAGCCUUGCAGCAGUCCCCCCAGAGCGUGCCAGCUCUCCUGGUGCUUCUCCAGCUCCGUUGCGUUGAUCCCAGCUGGCGGGCUGAGGGAGCAGAGCUGGUGGAGCUGGAUGCUGAUGCUCCCAUCCCACUCGGUGCUCCCGCGCCGGCACGCACAUACGCUCUUUUCCCCUCUCUCAGCAGAAGGCACAGUGUCUCCUCUGUUACUGUGUCCUUCGUGGCACGUCAUCAGGGUUUGGGCAGGACUCUCCCAUCUGUUCUGGGUGGAAAGAUUAGGAUAAAAGAGGCUAUUGUGCUCUUCUCCUUCCAACUAACUUCAAUCCAGUGAAGGGAAAACUCUACAUGCUAAACCCCCUGGAUCCUGCUCAGAUGAGAUGUUUACAGGACCAAUGACCAUUACAGAAUAAAAGUGCAACAUAGGAAAUAAAGUGACACAACCGGCUUUUGCCCAUUCCAGUGCUGGAAAACUGGGGUUGGGGAGCCUGGCCCCUCCACAGCGUUUUGCUUGCUGAGGAACGGGCCCGUUUGUUAAAUAUAGCUGAUGAGCUGUUCUUGAAUUGCACCUAAUUACAUCUCCUCUCCAGCACGCUGGCGCUUCCCGGCUCUUUGGAGCUACAAGGAGCUGGAUGAUUGCGGCUUGAGCUCCUCAGGUGAGCGAGAUGCUCAUUUGUUAUCCCCCUGUUUGGUUGCCUCUGACGGGGGAGGAGGG